Molecule: transfer RNA, 82 nt
Filed under: Methyloversatilis universalis FAM5
Lineage: Bacteria; Pseudomonadati; Pseudomonadota; Betaproteobacteria; Nitrosomonadales; Sterolibacteriaceae
Rfam family: tRNA
About the family: Transfer RNA (tRNA) molecules are approximately 80 nucleotides in length.
Source: Rfam by way of RNAcentral
GCCCAGGUGGCGAAAUUGGUAGACGCACUGGAUUUAGGUUCCAGCGCCGCAAGGUGUGGAGGUUCGAGUCCUCUCCUGGGCA